UGCCGGGUCCCGCGCGAUGUAAUCCCGUGAACCCCGCCAGGUCCGGAAGGAAGCAACGGUAAUGGGCCAGUGCAUGUGCAGUGGGCUCCCCGGUAUCU
Molecule: signal recognition particle RNA, 98 nt
Filed under: Acidobacteriota bacterium
Lineage: Bacteria; Pseudomonadati; Acidobacteriota
Description: Acidobacteria bacterium signal recognition particle sRNA small type
Rfam family: Bacterial small signal recognition particle RNA
About the family: The signal recognition particle (SRP) is a universally conserved ribonucleoprotein involved in the co-translational targeting of proteins to membranes. Archaeal SRP consists of a 7S RNA and homologues of the eukaryotic SRP19 and SRP54 proteins.
Source: RNAcentral